AAAAAAGUUGGAAAAGCAUGUAUUUUUAUUAUUUUUUGCAGGAUAUAACCAGAAUAAUACUGCUAUAAAAAUUUCUUAGGGGAAGUGUUUUCUGAGUUGAUUUUAAUAUUUCUCUAUGAUAAUACAGCAUGCUUGAAUUAUCCUCCCAAAAAAGUUUUCCGUGAUUAUAAAAGUUUUUACUUUUCACAUUUUUCAUAAGCUUGCUUUUUAAAUUAUGUAAAUAAUGAAUCAAGAGUAUACAGUAUAAUUUUUAAAUGACUAAAUUACAAGUGAUUUUUGGAAUGGGACUAUUCUUACCAGGGGAUUGACUGCAUACCUCGCACAGAGUCUCAGAACUGAAAGCUAACUUAACCUCCUACUACUCAAGUCUCCUGAUUUUUACCCAAGUGAAUAGGA
This 396-nucleotide long non-coding RNA is filed under the name Bos taurus (domestic cattle). Its description in RNAcentral is "long non-coding RNA NONBTAT008263". Lineage: Eukaryota; Metazoa; Chordata; Mammalia; Artiodactyla; Bovidae. The record is from RNAcentral.